CGCGUACGUGUAGAAAGCGUAGCUACACAUGCAGUCGACGGCAGCACAGUAAGAGCUUGCUCUUAUGGGUGGCGAGUGGCGGACGGGUGAGGAAUACAUCGGAAUCUACUUUUUCGUGGGGGAUAACGUAGGGAAACUUACGCUAAUACCGCAUACGACCUACGGGUGAAAGCAGGGGAUCUUCGGACCUUGCGCGAUUGAAUGAGCCGAUGUCGGAUUAGCUAGUUGGCGGGGUAAAGGCCCACCAAGGCGACGAUCCGUAGCUGGUCUGAGAGGAUGAUCAGCCACACUGGAACUGAGACACGGUCCAGACUCCUACGGGAGGCAGCAGUGGGGAAUAUUGGACAAUGGGCGCAAGCCUGAUCCAGCCAUACCGCGUGGGUGAAGAAGGCCUUCGGGUUGUAAAGCCCUUUUGUUGGGAAAGAAAUCCAGCCGGCUAAUACCUGGUUGGGAUGACGGUCCCAAAGAAUAAGCACCGGCUAACUUCGUGCCAGCAGCCGCGGUAAUACGAAGGGUGCAAGCGUUACUCGGAAUUACUGGGCGUAAAGCGUGCGUAGGUGGUUGUUUAAGUCUGUUGUGAAAGCCCUGGGCUCAACCUGGGAACUGCAGUGGAAACUGGACAACUAGAGUGUGGUAGAGGGUAGCGGAAUUCCCGGUGUAGCAGUGAAAUGCGUACAGAUCGGGAGGAACAUCCAUGGCGAAGCAGCUACCUGGACCAACACUGACACUGAGGCACGAAAGCGUGGGGAGCAACAGGAUUAGAUACCCUGGUAGUCCACGCCCUAAACGAUGCGAACUGGAUGUUGGUGCAUUUGGCACGCAAUAUCGAAGCUAACGCGUUAAGUUCCCC
RNAcentral lists this ribosomal RNA (850 nucleotides) under Stenotrophomonas sp. RNAcentral's name for it is "bacterial SSU rRNA". It matches the Rfam family "Bacterial small subunit ribosomal RNA", at positions 28 to 870 of the family's 1533-position model. The record is from RNAcentral. Lineage: Bacteria; Pseudomonadati; Pseudomonadota; Gammaproteobacteria; Lysobacterales; Lysobacteraceae.